GUCGAGCGGACAGAUGGGAGCUUGCUCCCUGAUGUUAGCGGCGGACGGGUGAGUAACACGUGGGUAACCUGCCUGUAAGACUGGGAUAACUCCGGGAAACCGGGGCUAAUACCGGAUGGUUGUUUGAACCGCAUGGUUCAAACAUAAAAGGUGGCUUCGGCUACCACUUACAGAUGGACCCGCGGCGCAUUAGCUAGUUGGUGAGGUAAGGCUCACCAAGGCACGAUGCGUAGCCGACCUGAGAGGGUGAUCGGCCACACUGGGACUGAGACACGGCCCAGACUCCUACGGGAGGCAGCAGUAGGGAAUCUUCCGCAAUGGACGAAAGUCUGACGGAGCAACGCCGCGUGAGUGAUGAAGGUUUUCGGAUCGUAAAGCUCUGUGUUAGGGAAGAACAAGUACCCGUUCGAAUAGGGCGUACCUUGACGGUACCUAACCCAGAAAGCCACGGCUAACUACGUGCCAGCAGCCGCGGUAAUACGUAGGUGGCAAGCGUUGUCCGGAAUUAUUGGGCGUAAAGGGCUCGCAGGCGGUUUCUUAAGUCUGAUGUGAAAGCCCCCCGGCUCAACCGGGGAGGGUCAUUGGAAACUGGGGAACUUGAGUGCAGAAGAGGAGAGUGGAAUUCCACGUGUAGCGGUGAAAUGCGUAGAGAUGUGGAGGAACACCAGUGGCGAAGGCGACUCUCUGGUCUGUAACUGACGCUGAGGAGCGAAAGCGUGGGGAGCGAACAGGAUUAGAUACCCUGGUAGUCCACGCCGUAAACGAUGAGUGCUAAGUGUUAGGGGGGUUUCCGCCCCUUAGUGCUGCAGCUAACGCAUUAAGCACUCCGCCUGGGGAGUACGGUCGCAAGACUGAAACUCAAAGGAAUUGACGGGGGGCCCGCACAAGCGGUUGGAGCAUGUGGUUUAAUUCGAAGCAACGCGAAGAACCUUACCAGGUCUUGACAUCCUCUGACAAUCCUAGAGAUAGGACGUCCCCUUCGGGGGCAGAGUGACAGGUGGUGCAUGGUUGUCGUCAGCUCGUGUCGUGAGAUGUUGGGUUAAGUCCCGCAACGAGCGCAACCCUUGAUCUUAGUUGCCAGCAUUCAGUUGGGCACUCUAAGGUGACUGCCGGUGACAAACCGGAGGAAGGUGGGGAUGACGUCAAAUCAUCAUGCCCCUUAUGACCUGGGCUACACACGUGCUACAAUGGACAGAACAAAGGGCAGCGAAACCGCGAGGUUAAGCCAAUCCCACAAAUCUGUUCUCAGUUCGGAUCGCAGUCUGCAACUCGACUGCGUGAAGCUGGAAUCGCUAGUAAUCGCGGAUCAGCAUGCCGCGGUGAAUACGUUCCCGGGCCUUGUACACACCGCCCGUCACACCACGAGAGUUUGUAACACCCGAAGUCGGUGAGGUAACCUUUUAGGAGCCAGCCGCCGAAUGGUGAAC
RNAcentral lists this ribosomal RNA (1427 nucleotides) under Bacillus subtilis. Its description in RNAcentral is "bacterial SSU rRNA". It matches the Rfam family "Bacterial small subunit ribosomal RNA". Lineage: Bacteria; Bacillati; Bacillota; Bacilli; Caryophanales; Bacillaceae. The record is from RNAcentral.